This 1668-nucleotide ribosomal RNA is filed under the name Triticum aestivum (bread wheat). Its description in RNAcentral is "partial small subunit ribosomal RNA". Lineage: Eukaryota; Viridiplantae; Streptophyta; Magnoliopsida; Poales; Poaceae. The record is from RNAcentral.
AUGACCAUAGCAUGUGGUUUCUCUCGCUUCCUCAACACGCGCGUGCAUUCCUCCACAAAUCGCGUCCUCAGCCUCUGGUUCGCCUCCUGUCCCUGCUCCUCCGCCUCCGCCUCCGCCUUCGCCUCGGAGCCGCCGGAGAUAGCCGCGGGCCCGGAAACCGUCAGGGAAGGGCGGGCGGAGAUAUUCGCGGACAAGUCCAAUUCGGUCUUCUUCAACAAGGCUCAGGUUAACAACAGAGACCUUUCCAUUGCUGUUUUGAGAUGGUUUAUUUUGAAAAGACAGGAAGAGCAUGAUAUCCAAUUAAAAGCAGGCAGGCGUGCUGAGAUACCACCGGAGCAGCAUGCCGAUGGAUUAGACCCUGCUACCACAGGUUCUGAAGACACUGCAUUGAGAAAGGAAUCGAGCCUUAAAGCACCUAAAGUUCUUGAGGCUUUGGCUGCAUCAGGAUUAAGAGCUAUCCGAUAUGCACUUGAGGUGGAUGGAAUUGGGGAAGUUAUAGCUCUUGACAAUAAUGAAGUUGCUAUAGAAUCCUGUAAGAGAAAUAUCUAUCACAAUGGCAUUCUUGCAUCUUCGAAGGUGGUGCCACAUCUUGCUGACGCUCGCAUUUACAUGCUCACUCACCCUAAAGAAUUUGAUGUGGUUGAUCUUGAUCCUUAUGGAUCACCAGCUGCAUUCCUUGAUUCAGCAGUUCAAUGUGUUGCAGAUGGUGGUAUCUUGAUGUGCUCGGCUACAGACAUGGCAGUCCUUGCUGGGGGCAAUGCAGAAGUUUGCUUUUCCAAAUAUGGUUCUUAUCCAGUAAGAGGCAAAUACCGCCAUGAGAUGGCCUUGAGGAUUCUUCUUGCCUGCAUCGAGUCACAUGCGAUCCGCCACAAGCGCUAUAUAGUUCCUGUCAUAUCAGUGCACAUGGAUUUCUACAUUAGGGUUUUUGUGCGAAUCUUCACGUCGGCUAGCACGGUGAAAAGCUCACCUCUCAAAUUUUCACAUGUAUAUCAAUGUGUUGGUUGCAAUUCAUUUCACUUACAAAAUGUUGGAAGAAUAAACUCAAAGGAUAAGAGGAAUAUUCCUCUACCAAAUUUUUGCCCUAUUGUGCCUCAAGAGUGUUCGGAGUGUGGCGGUAAAUUUGUUAUGGGGGGGCCUAUAUGGAGUGAUCCAAUACAUGACAGGGAUUGGGCUGCUUCCAUUUUAUCAAAUAUCCGAGCAACUAGUGGUUUAUAUCAAGCUUAUGCAAAAAUUUCAGCUAUACUAACGUCAGUAUCAGAGGAAUUGCCCAAUGCACCUUUAUUCGUCAGUCUUCACAGUAUAUGUGCAACAUUGAAGUGCACUAAUCCAACCAUGGUUAUGUUUCAUUCGGCUAUAAGAAAUGCUGGGUAUGAAAUAUCAGGUAGCCAUGCGGAUCCGCUAGCUCUGAAAACAGAUGCGCCAAUGUCUGUAAUUUGGGACAUCAUGCGAUGUUGGGUCAAGCUUCACCCGGUAAAAUCUCAACCUGAGAACCUUCCAGGUAGCAGGAUACUUUCCCAAGAGCCACAAUUGCAGGCAUCGUUCUCUCAAGCAACCGGGGGUUUAGUUGCACGGAAGAGCCCGAGAUUUCUACCUAAUCCUGAAAAACACUGGGGUCCUAAGAUGAAGGCCGGUAGACCACUGAAGAUACUUCCCAUUGACAAAUUGUAA